AGUGAACGCUGGCGGUAGGCCUAACACAUGCAAGUCGAACGGCAGCACAGUAAGAGCUUGCUCUUACGGGUGGCGAGUGGCGGACGGGUGCGGAAUACAUCGGAAUCUACUUUUUCGUGGGGGCUAACGUAGGGAAACUUACGCUAAUACCGCAUACGACCUACGGGUGAAAGCAGGGGAUCUUCGGACCUUGCGCGAUUGAAUGAGCCGAUGUCGGAUUAGCUAGUUGGCGGGGUAAAGGCCCACCAAGGCGACGAUCCGUAGCUGGUCUGAGAGGAUGAUCAGCCACACUGGAACUGAGACACGGUCCAGACUCCUACGGGAGGCAGCAGUGGGGAAUAUUGGACAAUGGGCGCAAGCCUGAUCCAGCCAUACCGCGUGUGUGAAGAAGGCCUUCGGGUUGUAAAGCCCUUUUGGUGGGAAAGAAAAGCAGCAGGUUAAUACCCCGCUGUUCUGACGGUACCCAAAGAAUAAGCACCGGCUAACUUCGUG
This 492-nucleotide ribosomal RNA is filed under the name uncultured bacterium. RNAcentral describes it as "partial 16S ribosomal RNA". It matches the Rfam family "Bacterial small subunit ribosomal RNA", at positions 29 to 507 of the family's 1533-position model. The record is from RNAcentral.